AACCGAGCCAGGUGAGCUGUUUUGCACUUGGAAGAAAUUUUGCAUUGUGCAACUCAACUCCCCAGCCUAAGGAAUGUAUUAAUAGAUAUGUUCUCAUUCCAGAGAGUGAGGUAGAGGUUGAAAGUUGUUGCCAGAGCAACAGCAAACUCACCUUUCAAUUCCCUUUCAGGAAUAGAAGGAAAAAAAAAAAAAAAAAGAGUCCUUGGGAAUUGAGAAGCCAAUGAGGAUACUCGCUUAAGCUGAAGUCAUCGUAUCUGUGAGCCAGCUGGGGACGCUGUCGCAACACGCAAACAGCAAGGUGUAAGGUACAUAUUAAUAAUCUGCUUGAUGGGAUAAGAUUCCAAAAUAUUUUUUCCCCUGAAAACUUUGGACCCUUUCGACACGGUGGUAUUUUUUUGUGCCAUGGCCAUAGUAUGCAGAAUUCCCAGGCCAGGAUCCUUAACCUGCGAAGCCAUCAGGUAACUCCUAGUGGGUUUUUUAAUG
Molecule: long non-coding RNA, 483 nt
Filed under: Sus scrofa (pig)
Lineage: Eukaryota; Metazoa; Chordata; Mammalia; Artiodactyla; Suidae
Description: lncRNA (ENSSSCG00070001997.1)
Source: RNAcentral